RNAcentral lists this ribosomal RNA (374 nucleotides) under uncultured bacterium. RNAcentral describes it as "bacterial SSU rRNA". It matches the Rfam family "Bacterial small subunit ribosomal RNA", at positions 524 to 898 of the family's 1533-position model. The record is from RNAcentral.
UACAGAGGGUGCAAGCGUUAAUCGGAGUUACUGGGCGUAAAGGGCGCGUAGGCGGUUGAUUGGGUGUGAUGUGAAAGCCCCGGGCUUAACCUGGGAAGUGCAUCGCAAACUAAUUGACUGGAGUAUAUGAGAGGGUGUCGGAAUUUCCGGUGUAGCGGUGAAAUGCGUAGAGAUCGGAAGGAACGUCAAUGGCGAAGGCAGGCACCUGGCAUAAUACUGACGCUGAGGCGCGAGAGCGUGGGGAGCGAACAGGAUUAGAUACCCUGGUAGUCCACGCUGUAAACGAUGAGGACUAGAUGUUGCGAGGGGAACCUUGCAGUAUCGAAGCUAACGCGAUAAGUCUUCCGCCUGGGAAGUACGGCCGCAAGGUUGAA